GAUGAACGCUGGCGGCGUGCCUAAUACAUGCAAGUCGAGCGAACGGACGAGAAGCUUGCUUCUCUGAUGUUAGCGGCGGACGGGUGAGAAACACGUGGAUAACCUACCUAUAAGACUGGGAUAACUUCGGGAAACCGGAGCUAAUACCGGAUAAUAUUUUGAACCGCAUGGUUCAAAAGUGAAAGACGGUCUUGCUGUCACUUAUAGAUGGAUCCGCGCUGCAUUAGCUAGUUGGUAAGGUAACGGCUUACCAAGGCAACGAUGCAUAGCCGACCUGAGAGGGUGAUCGGCCACACUGGAACUGAGACACGGUCCAGACUCCUACGGGAGGCAGCAGUAGGGAAUCUUCCGCAAUGGGCGAAAGCCUGACGGAGCAACGCCGCGUGAGUGAUGAAGGUCUUCGGAUCGUAAAACUCUGUUAUUAGGGAAGAACAUAUGUGUAAGUAACUGUGCACAUCUUGACGGUACCUAAUCAGAAAGCCACGGCUAACUACGUG
Molecule: ribosomal RNA, 497 nt
Filed under: uncultured bacterium
Lineage: Bacteria
Description: partial 16S ribosomal RNA
Rfam family: Bacterial small subunit ribosomal RNA
Source: RNAcentral